This 465-nucleotide ribosomal RNA is filed under the name uncultured bacterium. RNAcentral's name for it is "bacterial SSU rRNA". It matches the Rfam family "Bacterial small subunit ribosomal RNA", at positions 330 to 792 of the family's 1533-position model. The record is from RNAcentral.
GCCAGACUCCUACGGGAGGCAGCAGUGAGGAAUAUUGGUCAAUGGACGAGAGUCUGAACCAGCCAAGUAGCGUGAAGGAUGACUGCCCUAUGGGUUGUAAACUUCUUUUAUAUGGGAAUAAAAUGUUCCACGUGUGGGAUUUUGUAUGUACCAUAUGAAUAAGGAUCGGCUAACUCCGUGCCAGCAGCCGCGGUAAUACGGAGGAUCCGAGCGUUAUCCGGAUUUAUUGGGUUUAAAGGGAGCGUAGGUGGAUUGUUAAGUCAGUUGUGAAAGUUUGCGGCUCAACCGUAAAAUUGCAGUUGAAACUGGCAGUCUUGAGUACAGUAGAGGUGGGCGGAAUUCGUGGUGUAGCGGUGAAAUGCUUAGAUAUCACGAAGAACUCCGAUUGCGAAGGCAGCAUACGGCAGCGCUACUGACGCUGAAGCUCGAAGGCGCGGGUAUCGAACAGGAUUAGAUACCCGUGUA